GACGAACGCUGGCGGCGUGCUUAACACAUGCAAGUCGAGCGGUAAGGCCCUUUCGGGGGUACACGAGCGGCGAACGGGUGAGUAACACGUGGGUGACCUGCCUCUAGCUCUGGGAUAAGCCUGGGAAGCUGGGUCUAAUACCGGAUAUGACCUCGCGGUGCAUGUUGCGGGGUGGAAAGCCUUGUGCGGCUAGGGAUGGGCCCGCGGCCUAUCAGCUUGUUGGUGGGGUGAGGCCUACCAAGGCGACGACGGGUAGCCGGCCUGAGAGGGCGACCGGCCACACUGGGACUGAGACACGGCCCAGACUCCUACGGGAGGCAGCAGUGGGGAAUCUUGCGCAAUGGGCGAAAGCCUGACGCAGCGACGCCGCGUGAGGGAUGACGGCCUCGG
RNAcentral lists this ribosomal RNA (390 nucleotides) under uncultured bacterium. Its description in RNAcentral is "bacterial SSU rRNA". It matches the Rfam family "Bacterial small subunit ribosomal RNA", at positions 28 to 420 of the family's 1533-position model. The record is from RNAcentral.